Molecule: long non-coding RNA, 276 nt
Organism: Anneissia japonica
Lineage: Eukaryota; Metazoa; Echinodermata; Crinoidea; Comatulida; Comatulidae
Exons: 3
Source: RefSeq, a predicted model, not a curated record
CGAGCGAUAGGAAAAGCAACAAGGCCUGAACGCAAGGAGUUAUUUGUCCAGAUAGUGUCAUCAUCGCCGCAUCGACGAAACAGUUCCGAUUCUACCGCUGUACUUAGGAGGAGGUACUUAUGGUAGCUGAAUUUUCCGUUGUGGAUCCUGUGGGUAUAGAAGAAGUUUAUUGCUAGAAUCUUCACUGGGGCUGAUCGACGAACUGUGUCACUUGGUCACGUCACCAAACCAAUACAUGUGUAUGCUUUUUGAAACUCAAGUAAAUCGUAUAAUUAU